UACGGAGGGUGCGAGCGUUGUCCGGAAUCACUGGGCGUAAAGGGCGCGUAGGCGGCCUGAUAAGUAGGGGGUGAAAUCCUGCGGCUUAACCGCAGGGCUGCCUUCUAAACUGUCAGGCUUGAGCACAGUAGAGGCAGGUGGAAUUUCCUGUGUAGCGGUGAAAUGCGUAGAUAUAGGAAGGAACACCAGUGGCGAAGGCGACCACCUGGACUGAUACUGACACUGAGGUGCGAAAGCGUGGGGAGCAAACAGG
This 253-nucleotide ribosomal RNA is filed under the name uncultured bacterium. RNAcentral describes it as "partial 16S ribosomal RNA". It matches the Rfam family "Bacterial small subunit ribosomal RNA", at positions 524 to 776 of the family's 1533-position model. The record is from RNAcentral.